UGCAACAAAUCUCUGAACAUCUAAAUUUGGGAUCCGAGGGCAUGAUCAGCAAGCAUCGACAAUGCAUCGAAAUCAGCAGAGAGUAGUGGUGCAUUGCAGAUAAUCAGUACCAUCCAUGGAAACUAUUGCACAGGGCACACGUCUACACAAAGGAGGAAAAGACACAAGGUUUUGCAGAUCAAAUAAGAAGGAUGUUGGGGAGUCAUAUUUGACAUGAAGUUUCCUGAAGCCUGCGAUGGUCAUGUCGCUGUUACGAACAUCGUCCUUUGGGGAUAUUUACCCACAAGAAACAUCUGCGAAGUACAUGCGCUUCGUGAAAGACUUGAAACUUAAGUUAUCUUAAGUAUGGAAGUAUGCUUCAAUUUGCUACACGACAGUUUGUAAUGUUUCAUGAAGAACUCUGACUCAUAAGUGACUUAA
Molecule: long non-coding RNA, 420 nt
Organism: Haliotis rufescens (red abalone)
Lineage: Eukaryota; Metazoa; Mollusca; Gastropoda; Lepetellida; Haliotidae
Exons: 3
Source: RefSeq, a predicted model, not a curated record